This 1450-nucleotide ribosomal RNA is filed under the name uncultured organism. RNAcentral's name for it is "SSU rRNA". It matches the Rfam family "Bacterial small subunit ribosomal RNA". The record is from RNAcentral.
UUACGAACGCUGGCGGCGUGCCUAAUACAUGCAAGUAGAACGCUGAAGAGAGGAGCUUGCUCUUCUUGGAUGAGUUGCGAACGGGUGAGUAACGCGUAGGUAACCUGCCUUGUAGCGGGGGAUAACUAUUGGAAACGAUAGCUAAUACCGCAUAACAAUGGAUGACACAUGUCAUUUAUUUGAAAGGGGCAAAUGCUCCACUACAAGAUGGACCUGCGUUGUAUUAGCUAGUAGGUGAGGUAACGGCUCACCUAGGCGACGAUACAUAGCCGACCUGAGAGGGUGAUCGGCCACACUGGGACUGAGACACGGCCCAGACUCCUACGGGAGGCAGCAGUAGGGAAUCUUCGGCAAUGGGGGCAACCCUGACCGAGCAACGCCGCGUGAGUGAAGAAGGUUUUCGGAUCGUAAAGCUCUGUUGUAAGUCAAGAACGAGUGUGAGAGUGGAAAGUUCACACUGUGACGGUAGCUUACCAGAAAGGGACGGCUAACUACGUGCCAGCAGCCGCGGUAAUACGUAGGUCCCGAGCGUUGUCCGGAUUUAUUGGGCGUAAAGCGAGCGCAGGCGGUUUGAUAAGUCUGAAGUUAAAGGCUGUGGCUCAACCAUAGUUCGCUUUGGAAACUGUCAAACUUGAGUGCAGAAGGGGAGAGUGGAAUUCCAUGUGUAGCGGUGAAAUGCGUAGAUAUAUGGAGGAACACCGGUGGCGAAAGCGGCUCUCUGGUCUGUAACUGACGCUGAGGCUCGAAAGCGUGGGGAGCGAACAGGAUUAGAUACCCUGGUAGUCCACGCCGUAAACGAUGAGUGCUAGGUGUUGGAUCCUUUCCGGGAUUCAGUGCCGCAGCUAACGCAUUAAGCACUCCGCCUGGGGAGUACGACCGCAAGGUUGAAACUCAAAGGAAUUGACGGGGGCCCGCACAAGCGGUGGAGCAUGUGGUUUAAUUCGAAGCAACGCGAAGAACCUUACCAGGUCUUGACAUCCCGAUGCUAUUUCUAGAGAUAGAAAGUUACUUCGGUACAUCGGUGACAGGUGGUGCAUGGUUGUCGUCAGCUCGUGUCGCGAGAUGUUGGGUUAAGUCCCGCAACGAGCGCAACCCCUAUUGUUAGUUGCCAUCAUUCAGUUGGGCACUCUAGCGAGACUGCCGGUAAUAAACCGGAGGAAGGUGGGGAUGACGUCAAAUCAUCAUGCCCCUUAUGACCUGGGCUACACACGUGCUACAAUGGUUGGUACAACGAGUUGCGAGUCGGUGACGGCAAGCUAAUCUCUUAAAGCCAAUCUCAGUUCGGAUUGUAGGCUGCAACUCGCCUACAUGAAGUCGGAAUCGCUAGUAAUCGCGGAUCAGCACGCCGCGGUGAAUACGUUCCCGGGCCUUGUACACACCGCCCGUCACACCACGAGAGUUUGUAACACCCGAAGUCAAAGAGGUAACCUUUUGGAGCCAGCCGCCUAAG